UACGUAGGGUGCCGGCGUUUAUCGGAAUUACUGGGCGUAAAGCGUGCGCAGGCGGUCUUUUAAGUCCGAUGUGAAAUCCCCGGGCUUAACCUGGGAACUGCGUUUGAAACUGAAAGGCUAGAGUGUGGCAGAGGGGGGUGGAAUUCCACGUGUAGCAGUGAAAUGCGUAGAUAUGUGGAGGAACACCGAUGGCGAAGGCAGCCCCCUGGGCUAACACUGACGCUCAUGCACGAAAGCGUGGGGAGCAAACAGG
This 253-nucleotide ribosomal RNA is filed under the name uncultured bacterium. RNAcentral describes it as "partial 16S ribosomal RNA". It matches the Rfam family "Bacterial small subunit ribosomal RNA", at positions 524 to 776 of the family's 1533-position model. The record is from RNAcentral.